UACGUAGGGUCCGAGCGUUGUCCGGAUUUAUUGGGCGUAAAGAGCUCGUAGGCGGUUCCGUAAGUCAGAUGUGAAAACUCAGGGCUCAACCCGGAGACGCCAUCUGAUACUGCGGUGACUGGAGUCUGGUAGGGGAACACGGAAUUCCUGGUGUAGCGGUGAAAUGCGCAGAUAUCAGGAGGAACACCGAUGGCGAAGGCGGCGCUCUGGGCCGGUACUGACGCUGAGGAGCGAAAGCGUGGGGAGCAAACAGG
RNAcentral lists this ribosomal RNA (254 nucleotides) under uncultured bacterium. RNAcentral's name for it is "partial 16S ribosomal RNA". It matches the Rfam family "Bacterial small subunit ribosomal RNA", at positions 524 to 776 of the family's 1533-position model. The record is from RNAcentral.